Molecule: long non-coding RNA, 623 nt
Filed under: Capsicum annuum
Lineage: Eukaryota; Viridiplantae; Streptophyta; Magnoliopsida; Solanales; Solanaceae
Description: long non-coding RNA (CANN_LNC014773)
Source: RNAcentral
GCCGCACUUAGGUUGUACUUUUAAGGCCCCGUAAGUCUUGACUGUUUAUUUGGACUAUUUACGACCCUGAUGAAUGAAUUAAGGUAUUAUCGAGCGUUACACAAUGAAGGUCCUGUGCCUAAAAAAUGAUAUGAACGUCUGGAAGGGGUAGAAGUGGGUUUGAUGAGCAAGUUAGGAUUAAUUGAAACAUUCAUGGCUAAAAUAGUCCUUGCACUAAUCACUUGGAGCUUUAAUUUGGAGAUCCAGGUAUGCAUCUCCGUAUGGGAAUGAAGCCCCUUCAAUAAAAAGAUCAGAGUUGUUCAUUCGACCAUCUCUAGUUGACAUUGUGGGGCAGAAUUUUGAUUAGUUUGAAACUGGAUAAUGAGUGGGAGAGACUGCUGUAGAGAAUAGCAGAAGAAAGGUGUGGCUGGAGAGACCUUCUGCUGGCCCAAAAUCAUUUAACGAAGAUUCAUAUAAAAAGGGGAAGCUAGAAAGGUGAAAAAGAUAUUGAAAGGGAGAACUUGGAUUUGAUUUUUGGUUGGUUACAAAUAUUUAAUGUCAUCCCUAUUUUUACUUGUGUAGGGAUGAUUCUAGAUAUUACAAAUAUAGAGUGUUCUGUGCUCUUCCACAAAGAUCCCUCAAAU